GUUCCUGUGUCCUAAUGCUUAAGGUUUUGGACUCCGAAUCCAAAGAUUGCGGAUUCAAGUACCACCAGGAAUA
This 73-nucleotide transfer RNA is filed under the name Trichonephila clavata. It matches the Rfam family "tRNA". Rfam says of the family: Transfer RNA (tRNA) molecules are approximately 80 nucleotides in length. Their secondary structure includes four short double-helical elements and three loops (D, anti-codon, and T loops). Further hydrogen bonds mediate the characteristic L-shaped molecular structure. tRNAs have two regions of fundamental functional importance: the anti-codon, which is responsible for specific mRNA codon recognition, and the 3' end, to which the tRNAs corresponding amino acid is attached (by aminoacyl-tRNA synthetases). tRNAs cope with the degeneracy of the genetic code in two manners: having more than one tRNA (with a specific anti-codon) for a particular amino acid; and 'wobble' base-pairing, i.e. permitting non-standard base-pairing at the 3rd anti-codon position. Lineage: Eukaryota; Metazoa; Arthropoda; Arachnida; Araneae; Nephilidae. The record is from Rfam by way of RNAcentral.